Molecule: long non-coding RNA, 371 nt
Organism: Canis lupus familiaris (dog)
Lineage: Eukaryota; Metazoa; Chordata; Mammalia; Carnivora; Canidae
Exons: 4
Source: RefSeq, a predicted model, not a curated record
CUUCAAGGAGAGCAGGAAUUUGAAAGAAACUAAGGGACCCCUCCCUGCGUGUUCAGCUGCUGAAGCAAACAAAGUGUGACAUCGUGCGCUCCCUCUGUGUGCUGCCCAAAACUCAGCAUGACCUCAGCUUCUUCGUGGUGGACAUGUGGUUCCAGACGGAGAUGAUGAUCUGCUUCUCCGUCAAUGGGUGGUGUUCAAGGAAGUGGAAGGAAUGGUCUCAGGAUUCUGUUCGCGCCUUCACCCGGACCUUCAUCGCUACCCCUGUCAGCAAUUACAGGUGAGUGCUUUGUUGUGGGUGUAACACCCAGUUCAGUAUGAGUUCAGGGGUAUGGGAAUGGGGAGGUACAGUCUUUGGGGUGUUCUCAAUAUUG